UUAAGUGAACAAGGGCAUACGGCGGAUGCCUUGGCGCCAAGAGCCGAUGAAGGACGCGGUAAGCUGCGAAAAGGCAUGGGUAGGAGCAAGCAUCCUGUGAUCCAUGCAUAUCCGAAUGGGGCAACCCACCAUCAGUCAUGUGAUGGUACGAAAGAGGCAGACCUGGGGAACUGAAACAUCUAAGUACCCAGAGGAAAAGUAAUCAAUUGAGAUUCCCUAAGUAGCGGCGAGCGAAAGGGGAAGAGCCCAAACCAUGAAACUUCGGUUUUGUGGGGUUGAGGACCGGCAAAAAGAGGAAACUUCUUAGUCGAAUGGUUUGGAAAGGCCAUGCACAGAAGGUAAAACACCUGUAGGCGAAAAGAAGUCAAUCGGGCUGGUAUCCAGAGUACUGCGAGACACGUGAAACCUUGCAGGAAGCAGGGGGGACCACCCUCCAAGGCAAAAUACUACUUGGCGACCGAUAGCGCAUAGUACCGUGAGGGAAAGGUGAAAAGAACCCCGGGAGGGGAGUGAAAUAGAACCUGAAACCGUAUGUCUACAAGCAGUCGAAGCACCUUAAGAGUGCGACGGCGUGCCUAUUGAAGAAUGAACCGGCGAGUUACAUUAUGUUGCGAGGUUAAGUGGGAGACACGGAGCCGAAGCGAAAGCGAGUCUUAAUAGGGCGACUAGUAACAUGGUGUAGACCCGAAACCGCAGUGAUCUAUCCAUGGUCAGGUUGAAGCGCAGGUAAAAAUGCGUGGAGGACCGAACCCGUGAGUGUUGAAAAACUUUGGGAUGAACCGUGGAUAGGGGUGAAAUGCCAAUCGAACGCGGAGAUAGCUGGUACUCCCCGAAAUAGCUUUAGGGCUAGCCUCAGGGAAGAUUAUAGACGGUAGAGCACUGAUCUGGCAAGGGGGCGUAAAGCCUACCGACCCUAGUCAAACUUCGAAUGGCUAUAAUUAAGACCCUGGGAGUCAGACUGCGAGUGAUAAGACCCGUAGUCAAGAGGGAAACAGCCCAGACCGCCGACUAAGGUCCCCAAUGCUGUACUAAGUGGAAAAGGAUGUAAGACUUCAUAAACAACCAGGAUGUUGGCUUAGAAGCAGCCACCAUUAAAAGAGUGCGUAAUAGCUCACUGGUCGAGAGGCCUUGCGCCGAAGAUGUCCGGGGCUCAAGUACAGAACCGAAGUCGCGGCAGGAUUUAUAAUUCUGGGUAGGGGAGCGUUGUAUAUCCGACUGAAGGUGUACCGGAAGGAGCGCUGGAGGAUAUACAAGAGAGAAUGCCGGUAUGAGUAGCGAAAAGAACAGUGAGAAUCUGUUCCACCGAAAGCCUAAGGUUUCCUGAGCAACGCUCGUCGACUCAGGGUAAGUCGGGACCUAAGCCGAGGCAAAAAGCAUAGGCGAUGGACAACAGGUUAAUAUUCCUGUACCGCUUCAAAUCGUUUGAGCAAUGGAGUGACACAGAAGGUAGCUUGAGCACGCGAAUGGAUGUGCGUGUCGAAGGUGGUAGAUUGCAGUAUAGGCAAAUCCGUACUGUAUAAGAUCGAGAACUGAUAGAUAGACGAUACUUCGGUAAAGUCAAAUUCAAGUGAGCCAUGCUGUCGAGAAAAGCUUCUAGUGAGAGAUGAGGCGCCCGUACCGAAACCGACACAGGUAGGCGGGGAGAGAAUCCUAAGGUGCGCGGGACAACCCUCGUUAAGGAACUCGGCAAAUUGUAUCCGUAACUUAGGGAUAAGGAUAGCCGGAGGAUGUGAAGGGAUUUACUUCUGGAGCGUCAGCCGGUGGCACAAGAGAGGCCCAAGCGACUGUUUAGCACAAACACAGGUGCCUGCAAAAGAGAAAUCUGACGUAUAGGUGCUGACACCUGCCCGGUGCUGGAAGGUUAAGAGGAGGGCUUAGAGGCAACUCGAAGGCUUGAAUUGAAGCCCCAGUAAACGGCGGCCGUAACUAUAACGGUCCUAAGGUAGCGAAAUUCCUUGUC
This 1960-nucleotide ribosomal RNA is filed under the name metagenome. Its description in RNAcentral is "bacterial LSU rRNA". It matches the Rfam family "Bacterial large subunit ribosomal RNA", at positions 1 to 1973 of the family's 2925-position model. The record is from RNAcentral.